Molecule: unclassified non-coding RNA, 1234 nt
Filed under: Hevea brasiliensis (rubber tree)
Lineage: Eukaryota; Viridiplantae; Streptophyta; Magnoliopsida; Malpighiales; Euphorbiaceae
Source: RNAcentral
UGCUGUGACAACUAUAAGGAAAACUUCUGCAACCUACCGGAUUAUUUCAAACGCUAUUGCGGUAACAUAGAGGAGUACAUUAAACGCCGCGCAUCGGAUAUACUUUAUUGUCUAUUUCAUCCACUUGAGUAUGAGUGCGGUAAGAAUCAUUCUAUUUUCUUCAUUAGUAAAGUAGUGAGAUCAGGAUACAUAAAUCCCUUUUUCUUUUUUAAUUUUCUUUACUUGAAGUUAACAUAUCUAAAUUUAUCAGAUAUGUUAUCUUUUUUAAUUAAUAAUAAUAAUAAUAAGUUAAAAAUCAUUGCUUAUAUAUGGUUGUAAUAGUACCUGCAGGUGGCAAUAAGGCUGAGCAGAAAUCUAUUAUAACCGAAAAGUUAAUUGAAUCAUUCUAAUUUGUUUUUUAGUUAAUUGAUUCAGUUUUUGAGUUUGGAUCAAUUAUUAAGAUUAAAACCUUGAAAUAACCAAACCAAACAUAUAUAAGGGGUACUAUGUCAUUUUAGCUAGUUGUCUUCCUUCUUUAGAAGCUUGUUGCCUUCUUCUUUCUCAUCCUCUUUGUCCACUAAAGCUAAAGCACAUACACUCUCUUCGAUGUCAACAACAAAAAACGCAGACAUUCUUUCUCCUUUUUGUCAACAAAUUUAGACUGCUAAACACCAUAGAAGAUACCAAUUGCUCUUAAGCUUCUCUCUUUCUCUCAACUCCCUUGGUCUCGUUUGCCUUGGUCCCUCCUUCCCUUCAUUGUCUCUCCUCCUUAUCAUUUAAGCAAAUCCAAAUCCCAAAAAAGCUUUUAGUCUUUCUCUUAUCACGUCUUGAUCCCCACUUCUGUUCUCGUGAUGCUAGUCUACUGCCUUCUUCCUUCUCCAUUUUUGUUCUUUGUUGUUUGGCUACUAGCUAGAGCCCGUAUCUUCUUGAUCGUAUUAAGGGUUUCUCAUCUUCAUCAUCAAUUCUCUCUCUGAACCAAAUGCAAACUCAUCGAUUCUUCUCUUGCCAAGUUCAUGUGCCAACCACUACUAAGAUGAGAUCUAAAAAAGCUACCAACGCCCCUUCUGAAGAAGGACAAAAUUGUUGAAGGAUUUGUGAUAAUAUGCUUAUUCAGAAUCACAGGGACUACGCAUCGGGUGAGGAAUUGUUUUACGUUAUUACUCUGCUACCCUUUCAAUGCAAUAUGUUUAGUCUUGAGGGUUCACGUGUAUUUGAUUUACGAUUCUAUUUUCAAGGUUUUUUUUUUCCUUUCCCG